Molecule: long non-coding RNA, 784 nt
Filed under: Rattus norvegicus (Norway rat)
Lineage: Eukaryota; Metazoa; Chordata; Mammalia; Rodentia; Muridae
Description: long non-coding RNA NONRATT022933
Source: RNAcentral
UCACAGGUCACGCAAUAGAGUCCACUCAAUGCUUGAAAACAGUAUUUAAUAUAUGCAGCUCAUCCCCCUUCUUUUCUUGCUUUCCGAAAUCACCUGUUACUUUAUCAUCAUUGCUAAGGUUAAGAAGCAGGGCCUUGUACAUAUGACUUCUACCACUCAGUUACUCUCCCAGCCCUAUAGCCUCUUCUAAGCCAGAGUCUCACCUUGAAAUCACCUGUGUCUGGGGGCUGAGGAUUUAGCUCAGUGGUAGAGCGCUUACCUAGGAAGCGCAAGGCCCUGGGUUCGGUCCCCAGCUCAAAAAAAAAGAACCAAAAAAAAAAAAAAAAUCACCUGUGUCUGCCAACCCUGCAGUCUUACUUGGUAGAAAUCACAGCUUAAUGAGUUUAUACAUCCUUGAAUUACAGUAAAGAGUUGGCACAGGCCGGAAGUUUCAGUGCCCAGGUAACCACUGACCCUAGCCAUGGUACCUGGGCCUCAGUGUGGUCUUUCAUGUCGCAGCCUCUAUCGGCUCCCUUCUUCGUCCUCACAUCUGUCCUGCAGUGUCCUGAUGUGUUCUCUAUGUAAGAUGUUCCUACUGUGCCUUUCCCACAGUUCCCCAGUGUUUCACACUAGUAGAGUGUUGGCUGGCUACUCUAGACCCAGUAGAGGUCUUGUGGCUGCAUCCUUCUGUUUGCCCCAACAUGGUCUCUCCUGUAUUCUAUUGAAAUAUUUUCUUUUUGUUGGUUGGUUACUGUUGUUUCUUGAGCUAGGGUAUUCUUUACCUGGCCUGGAACUUACAGGGAUC